This 451-nucleotide ribosomal RNA is filed under the name uncultured microorganism. RNAcentral's name for it is "bacterial SSU rRNA". It matches the Rfam family "Bacterial small subunit ribosomal RNA", at positions 9 to 461 of the family's 1533-position model. The record is from RNAcentral.
GAGUUUGAUCCUGGCUCAGAUUGAACGCUGGCGGCAGGCUUAACACAUGCAAGUCGAGCGGGGGAGAUUGCUUCGGUAAUUGACCUAGCGGCGGACGGGUGAGUAAUACUUAGGAAUCUGCCUAUUAAUGGGGGACAACAUCUCGAAAGGGAUGCUAAUACCGCAUACGCCCUACGGGGAAAGCAGGGGAUCACUUGUGACCUUGCGUUAAUAGAUGAGCCUAAGUCGGAUUAGCUAGUUGGUGGGGUAAAGGCCUACCAAGGCGACGAUCUGUAGCGGGUCUGAGAGGAUGAUCGCCACACUGGGACUGAGACACGGCCCAGACUCCUACGGGAGGCAGCAGUGGGGAAUAUUGGACAAGUGGGGGGAACCCUGAUCCAGCCAUGCCGCGUGUGUGAAGAAGGCCUUAUGGUUGUAAAGCACUUUAAGCGAGGAGGAGGCUCCUGUAGUU